AUGAAUGUGCUAAGCUGGAACUGCCAGGGAGGGGGGAAUUCCUGGACAGUUCGUGAGUUGGCGACGAUCUCACAGCCGCAUUCCCCAAACGUGGUGUUUUUGUGUGAGACGAGGCGGAAAGCUGAAAAGAUGAGGAGGAUUCGUGGUCGCCUUGGUUUGAAGGGGUUCACGGGUGUGGAUAGCAAUGGGAUGACUGGUGGGCUGGCUUUGUUUUGGCAUGAGUCAUAUGAGGUGGAAAUACUGGAUAAAGAUGAACGAUAUAUUGAUGCCCUUUUGCGUGUUGUGGAGGGAGCAACUCAAUGGAGGAUAACGUGCGUGUAUGGAGAACCACGAGUUGAGAACCGGCAUCUUAUGUGGGAGAAGUUGCAGCGGUUGAAGAACACAAGUGAUGCUCCUUGGUUAGUGGUGGGUGAUUUCAACGAGGCAAUGUGGAACUAUGAACACUUGUCAUCUACACCCCGGGCUGAACCACAGAUGAUUGCCUUCCUGGAUACCUUGGAGAUUUGUGGUCUUGUAGACCUGGUUUUGUGGGCAUACCUAUCGGAGUUAUUGGCCAUGGGUAGCCUCAUCUGCCCCCAUGGCAUUUCAAAACAUCGGGGCCGGCUGCUCCCCUCAGAGUCUCAAAGCUUGGUCACCGCCUUCUUGUGGCCGGCUGGUCCAAUCGACCGGCUGCUAGAAGGCGGAGGAUCCUAG
Molecule: ribosomal RNA, 693 nt
Filed under: Triticum aestivum (bread wheat)
Lineage: Eukaryota; Viridiplantae; Streptophyta; Magnoliopsida; Poales; Poaceae
Description: partial small subunit ribosomal RNA
Source: RNAcentral